RNAcentral lists this ribosomal RNA (464 nucleotides) under uncultured bacterium. RNAcentral describes it as "partial 16S ribosomal RNA". It matches the Rfam family "Bacterial small subunit ribosomal RNA", at positions 339 to 795 of the family's 1533-position model. The record is from RNAcentral.
CUACGGGUCGCAGCAGUGGGGAAUAUUGCACAAUGGGCGCAAGCCUGAUGCAGCCAUGCCGCGUGUAUGAAGAAGGCCUUCGGGUUGUAAAGUACUUUCAGCGGGGAGGAAGGGAGUAAAGUUAAUACCUUUGCUCAUUGACGUUACCCGCAGAAGAAGCACCGGCUAACUCCGUGCCAGCAGCCGCGGUAAUACGGAGGGUGCAAGCGUUAAUCGGAAUUACUGGGCGUAAAGCGCACGCAGGCGGUUUGUUAAGUCAGAUGUGAAAUCCCCGGGCUCAACCUGGGAACUGCAUCUGAUACUGGCAAGCUUGAGUCUCGUAGAGGGGGGUAGAAUUCCAGGUGUAGCGGUGACAUGCGUAGAGAUCUGGAGGAAUACCGGUGACGAAGGCGGCCCCCUGGACGAAGACUGACGCUCAGGUGCGAAAGCGUGGGGAGCAAACAGGAUUAGAUACCCCCGUAGUC